Molecule: RNA transcript, 5577 nt
Organism: Populus euphratica (Euphrates poplar)
Lineage: Eukaryota; Viridiplantae; Streptophyta; Magnoliopsida; Malpighiales; Salicaceae
Exons: 4
Source: RefSeq, a predicted model, not a curated record
UCGAUCAAAUAAAUUUAUUCUACUGAGUUAAUUUGAUCAAGUAUGGAUAACGGAGGCAUUUCCGGUGAUUUUUAGCUGCUAAAAAGCUAGUAAUGAAGGGGUGCGUUCUUUUCCGAGAAAGGGGAUAUUAGCACACUUAAAUCAACGGUCAGGGAGAUCUCCAGAAACAGAAGGGAGAGAUGAGUCAGCACAAUAGCAACAAGAACCAAAACUCACUGAGUCAACCCACUCAGCCACCCUCUUCUCUCUCUAUUCUCUCACCAAACCAAACCCGAAUCAACCCAACCCUUUCUUCCUCACUACCUCUUUCUUCCUCUUUUACCUUUCUCCCUGCUCGUUUAUUCGUUCACCAUUACCAUAUCUCCUCUUUUCUGUACCCUUUUCGGUCUUUUCACCACUUCCAAAUCGGACGGCCCGCUUUCCUCCACGUCACCAUCGUCUUCUUCACCUCCUCAUCUCCUGUCAUCUUCUCUCCCUGUCUCCCUUCCUUAUUUACAAAUUACAUGCGCCUCUCGCCCUUUUUUUUGGUCUUCUCCAUAAGAAUCUCACUCCAUCUCUGGCGCGAACAAGGGUUAUGUUUUGAAAUUGGAGCGGGUUACUUAUCGUAUAUUGCUUGCGUGGAUGGCGAUUGAGAAGAACAAUUUCAAGGUAUCUAAUAAGUUUGACGCGGAGCUUUCUCCUGAUAGCAGGGAUACUGCCAUGUCCAGUGACGAGGACGAGGAUGAAGAUGACCUUCUUCAUCAGCAGCGGAUUGGGUCUGAUGAGGAUGAAGAGGAUGACGUUGAUGUUGAAGAGGGUGACGAAGACGACGAAGAAUUCAACGAUGCUGAUUCUGGGGCAGGAUCUGAUGAUUUUGACUUGCUAGAAUUAGGGGAAACCAGGGCUGAGUUUUGCCAAUUCGGGAAUUUAACUUGCAGUGUUCCCUUUGAAUUGUAUGACCUUCCUGGAUUGCAGGACAUAUUGUCUGUUGAUGUGUGGAAUGAUGUUUUAACCGAAGAUGAUAAAUUUAGCCUCACUAAGUAUUUACCUGACGUUGAUCAGGAUACCUUUCUGCGAACCCUCAAAGAGCUUCUUGAGGGUGGGAAUUUCCAUUUUGGUAGUCCCGUCAACAAAUUGUUUCAGAUGCUCAAGGGGGGGUUGUGUGAACCGAGGGUUGCCCUUUACAGAGAUGCUUUGUAUUUCUUUCAGCAAAGGCAGCAUUACCAUCUUUUGAGGAAGCAUCAGAAUAGUAUGGUUAGUCAUUUGUGCCAGAUAAGAGAUGCUUGGCAUGAUUGUAAAGGGUAUAGCAUUGGUGAGAAGCUUAGAGUUUUGAAUAUCAUGAAGAGUCAUAAGAGUUUGAUGCAUGAGAAUGCGGAGGGAGAAUUGGAGAGUGGCUCAUCGGACCAAGGGGAACCAGGUGAUAGGUUUUGGGACAGAAGGGUUAAAAAUAAGAAGAGUGCAUCCAAAUUUGAUCGUACUUCAGCAUAUGGCGUUGAUUCUGGUUUGGAAUUUUCUUCACAAGUUGCAAAGUAUGGAAAGCAAAAUCCCAGGGGUAUACUGAAGUCAGCUGGGUCAAGAGAUCCUUCAACUAGAGAUGUGCCGGGUCGCUUUCCUUCUGUUUAUCAUGGUUUGGGGAUGACUUCAAGUCCCCAUGGAUCAGCAUUGACACUUUCUAGGCAGAAUAAGCUUGCUGGGUAUGACUCAGGAGAUGCACCCAGGCUAAGGGAUCAAAUGACAAUUGAAAAGGAUGAUACUGAAUAUGCAAUGUACAGAAUGGGUGUCCAACGAGAUCGAAAUAUGGCACUUGGUGGUGAUAUGGUGAAGUCCAGGGUUCGAAAAGCAGGAAAGAAGCAUGAUUUCUUGAGAACUAACAGAUUAGAUGCUGACAGUUUCAUGAAUUUGCCAUUCUCUUCAAACAACGACUUGCAUGCCCACGGCAGGGACAAUAAUGCAGGUCAGCUGUCAGAAGCUAAAGCGUUCACAUCAAAUAUUCUCUAUAACCGGACCAAGUCCGAGUCUUCCAAAAAGACCAAGUAUGCUGAAAAUUCUCCGCAAUUCUCAGUUCCUGAUCAGAUGAAAUACUCGAAAGGCCAAGCUCUGCUGCUACCACUGAAAGGUAAUCGAGUUGACUUAUCAGAUCAUGCUGAACCAAUUUGCCAUAGCAAUAAUCAAGGACAGGUUUUCUCUAUGGAUUCUACAUUUAAAUCUAAUGAUUGGAAUAUGAGAAGUAAGAAAUGUAGGACGGGGAGAGAGUCCCCGGAUCUUAAUUUCAAAGCUCAUCGAGCAUUGUCGCCCCAGGUGAAUGAUGGAAUUGCGCUGCCUCGGGUGAAAGCAAAGCAAUCACGGGAGAAGAUCAGAGGGAGUGUUAUUCAGAAUGGAAGAUCAGAAAAGAGAGCAUUGAAAGCUAACAGAAUUUAUAUAAAAGGUGAAGAAACAGAAUCAGACUCAUCUGAACAAUUUUAUGAUGAGGAUGAUGAGGGUAGCAAUCCUUUGAUGAAAAGCAAGUCAGCUUACCCUGUCAGUAUCAUAGAAGGUUCUCGGUCGUCCUUUUUGAAGUCUAGCUUAGGUGCUAAAAAGGCCUCCUUUAUUAAGAAAGAUGUGCAGGAGAAUGAACUGGCUUCCGAUGGAAUUGCACACUUUUCCCAAAAGGUGAGUGACUUUACUGAGCCUGGGCAAAUGCCAAGAUACUUGUCAAAAGCUAAACAAAAGGGUAAGAUGCAUGAGACACAUAGCUCUAGUGCUAGAGUUUUGGAAGACAGCUCUCUCACUGGCCUGGGUAAACUAAAGGAUGAUAAUGACAGAAACAGAAUUCACAGAUCUGGCAAGAUUGGUCAAUUACGGGUGGAAUAUGAUGAAAGGUUACGCAGGUCCUCAUCGAAAGCCUACCCUUCUGACCGAAAGCAGAAAGGGGAAGUCAGCCAUGAUUUCAUUGUUGACGAUGAGGAUGGUUUACUUGAAACACAGUUACUGUCAGAUGAAAAUGCACUGGUUAGAUUGCGAAAGAAAGGACGGAACAUGGAAACAUAUGCUCAUGGUCAAAGUGACCCACCUGAGGCUUUGUUGCUGGGGUGCAACUCAGGGAUGAAGAAACGGAAAGCAAAGUACGAUGUGAUGGACAUGGCUGGCAGAGACGAAGAUGGUAAUAGGCAUUCUAACAGUGUUGAGCCGCAAAUUGACAACUCCAUUUCAUUGAAGAAAAAAGGGAAAAGGAAAUUGGAAGCUGACGAUGUUAUUCCAGACUGGGAAACUCCUGAGGCACCUGUUACAAAAACAGGAGUGGUGGAUGUGGAGCUGGAAGUGAAGCCUCAGAAAAAGCCAUAUACACCGAUUACACCAACAGUUCAUGUUGGCUUCUCAUUUUCCAUUAUACAUCUCCUUUCAGCAGUUCGUUUGGCAAUGAUCACUCCUCUUUCAGAAGAUUCCUUAGAGGUUGGCAAACCCACAGCAGAGCUGAACAGAGCACAUGAAGGUGACAACAAUGGGGUUCUUUCUAAUGAGAAUGCAGAUGUUAAUGAAUCAGACCCUGCUGUGCAAGUGAAAAUGCCUUCUCUUACUGUACAGGAGAUUGUUAAUCGUGUGAGAUCAAACCCUAUGGAUCCCUGCAUUCUUGAGACGCAGGAGCCACUCCAGGAUUUGAUCAGAGGAGUUCUCAAGAUAUUUUCAUCAAAAACAGCGCCUCUAGGAAUGAAGGGCUGGAAAGCACUUGUAUUUUAUGACAAAUCUACAAAAAGUUGGUCCUGGAUUGGUCCAGUUUCUCACAUUUUGACAGAUCAUGACACUAUUGUUGAAGGGACGUCUCCUGAAUAUUGGAGCCUUCCUCACAAAAGUUGUGUCAAGUUGGUCGACUCUUUUGCUAAUUGGCUGAAAAGUGGGCAAGAGACUCUUCAACAAAUUGGAAGUCUUCCUGCACCGCCUCUGUCAUUGAUGCAAUGUAACCUGGAUGAGAAAGAGAGGUUCAGGGACUUGAGAGCUCAGAAAAGUCUCAAUACUAUCAGCCCGAGUUCUGAAGAAGUGAGAGCUUAUUUCCACAGGGAAGAAGUCCUGAGGUAUUUGAUUCCCGACAGGGCCUUCUCAUACACUGCUGCUGAUGGUAAAAAGUCUAUUGUUGCUCCCUUGAGGAGGUGUGGUGGGAAGCCAACUUCAAAAGCUCGAGACCAUUUCAUGCUGAAGCGUGAUCGACCACCUCAUGUUACGAUUCUUUGUCUUGUGAGAGAUGCAGCUGCUAGAUUGCCAGGAAGCAUCGGCACUAGAGCAGAUGUUUGUACUUUGAUACGAGACUCUCAGUAUACUGUCGAAGAUGUGUCUGAUGCACAAGUGAAUCAAGUUGUCAGUGGAGCCUUGGAUCGUUUGCAUUAUGAGCGUGAUCCCUGUGUGCAAUUUGAUGGAGAAAGGAAAUUGUGGGUUUACCUGCACAGAGAUCGAGAAGAAGAAGAUUUUGAAGAUGACGGUACUUCAUCUACUAAGAAAUGGAAGAGACAGAAAAAAGACCCUGCUGAUCUAUCUGAUCAAGGAACAGUUACUGUUGCUUUUCAUGGGGCAGGGGAUCAAUCUGGAUUUGAUUUGGGCUCUGACCUCAACGCUGAGCCACCAGCUGAUGAUGAUGAUAAAAGAGCAGAUCUUGUUUGUAGUGAUGUGAGACACAGUGCGGAAGAUCCUGUUGACACCACUCAUGUGCUCCAGCAAUGCAGCACAUAUCAGGGUGAAUCAAUGGUUUGGGAGGCCCUGAGCUUAAAUCCAUUGCAAGAGAACAAAUUGAUAUGCCAAGAAGAUUCCACAAAUGAAGAUUUUGAUGAUGAAACAUUUGAGACAGAAAGGCCAGAUGGAAUCUUAAGUACAAGCUUAUUAUGAAUAAUUUUUCAGAUUAUCAUAAACUGAUGUGCUGCUAUGCAUCCAAUCACAAUGACUGUUGAGAUGCAGAACGUUGCUUGCUGUCAAGGUUUCAUAAAGAUUUUGAAGUGCUACUUUAAUGUACAUGGUGGUAGUUUGACUGGGGAUUUAGGGAAGGAGGGACCUCCAUAGGUAGUUCAUUCAAGUAGGCACAUGGAACGUUUCCUGGCACCAUAAAUUGGAGAGGGCAUUUAGAAGAUCAGCGCAGCUAGGGGUUGUGACAGAAUAAGUUAGAAUUGUGCUGGUGCAGAAGUCUGUCUAUGCUAGAAGUAAUGUGCCAGUCAUCCUCUCCAAGCUGUCAUGCAUAAAAUGCUAUUGUAUGUACAUUGAUGAUUUUAGUGCAAAAUGUAGAAUAGCAAGUGACCAGACUUUCUAUUCCUUGUUUGAGGUCCAGAAUAUGUCCAUUAGCUGGUUCUGUAAUCCCAAAAUAACGUUUCCUUUGCUUUCUAAUUCGUUAUGCAGAUCAUUUCGAAAUGUAGGCCAUCCAUCCUACUUCCCUUGAAAUGAACAAGGAUUGCUCCUUCGACAUCUGUUAUGCUCUCUGGCUCUUACCACUAGCGGAUCAUUCUGCUCUCAGCAACGUCCCAAAGUAGCAGUUGAAUUCAAAUCCUCACACAGGUUAGAGAGGAGAAACUUCUACCAUAACUUAAGCAGAACACUCGCUCCAUCUGUAUCAUAUCAAAUUUUCCGAACGAGUGCAUUAUCAAGUCA